RNAcentral lists this long non-coding RNA (298 nucleotides) under Musa acuminata (dwarf banana). RNAcentral describes it as "long non-coding RNA (MACU_LNC006735)". Lineage: Eukaryota; Viridiplantae; Streptophyta; Magnoliopsida; Zingiberales; Musaceae. The record is from RNAcentral.
UAUGAUGAACUUAUAUGUGAAUUAAGAAGCGUUCCCACAUCAUUCUACAACAGAUUGCCAUACCCUUUCACAUACCAGAAUGAAACCAGAUUAAGAUUUGCUCCACCAUAAUUGUGCAUGUACCAUUUCUAAAUGAUGGUAUGGUGAUGACACACUUUUGCAGGCAACACACAUUUGUUGGAAUAUCUUGAUACAUAGAUGGAAGAUUUAGGUUUCAUGUUCGUAGGAUUCAAAAUCAUCCUCACUCGGGCCUAUGAAGAUUGUGCAAAAUGUACAAGGAUGCUGAUGACAAGAAUAU